Long non-coding RNA from Branchiostoma floridae (Florida lancelet), 506 nucleotides. RefSeq lists it as uncharacterized. NCBI's taxonomy places the organism in Eukaryota, Metazoa, Chordata, Leptocardii, Amphioxiformes, Branchiostomatidae. The transcript has 5 exons. The record is from RefSeq and is a predicted model, not a curated record.
GUGGCCGCCAUUUCCUGAACAUGACAUACAGGGGCCAUGAAAGACUCGGGUAACUCCAGCUAUCCCUGCCAACAUCUUGAAUAACCGGUGUUCUCACAUAAAGCGCUGUGUGAUAUCAAACCAACCAUGCUGAUGACGCAGCCAAGCGAUAACAACAACAAUCACGAGUGGGCACGCGGUUGAGAAGAGGAUGAGGGGCAGAUUUGCUAUCCAUGUGGCGACAUUUGUUCUACUCUGUGUUAUGAACUGGAGUCCCGCAUAUGGCGAGUCAAGAUGUAUCCAUCAUCUGACCGGUGAACGAGGACAUGUAAGCAGUAGCACAGAUGCCACGUCUGACCACUGUGAAUGGAACAUCCAGACCAACGAAAAUACGUUAAUAUUGAUCAAUUUUGAUAGAGGAAAUUACCGGCGAGGCUCUAACAACUGUAGCGCUGACGUUGUGUCAUUCCAUGAUGGAAUUUCAGCAAACAGCAAGAUCAUUGACUCAUUCUGUGGAGAUAGGAUAG